Molecule: long non-coding RNA, 1190 nt
Organism: Brassica napus (rape)
Lineage: Eukaryota; Viridiplantae; Streptophyta; Magnoliopsida; Brassicales; Brassicaceae
Exons: 2
Source: RefSeq, a predicted model, not a curated record
UUAUUUGCGCUAUAAAGUGCUGGAUUCUGCAUACUAUACGUUUGACUAAAUCUUAAGAGUAAGGACUGAUGUUUUUAUCUUUUUCACGUGUAUUGUUAGAUUUUGGGAUGGGCUUUGGAAGCUUGGGCUGUUAUCUACUUUCUGGACUUGCCUCUUCUACUUUAUAAUCAAUCAAACGAAUGUUGACCCAAAAAAAAAAAACGUUUAUAUGUGUUUAAUCGCAUAUACACGUGGAGUGUUCCUUUAGUUAGGUGAGACUGAAUUCAAGAAGAAAAAAAAGAGAAAUGACCAAACUGCAAAUAAGUGUAACUUAAGUUGUUUAUCAGAUCUAGGAUCUUCCACAUUUAUUUAGGCCGAUAUUAAACUCUUCACGGGAUGAGGCUUGUUGCCUGAUGAAGGAAAAAACACGGCUUGAGCUCCUCUGCAAUUGGAGGUGAGAGCGAUGAUUUUGGGAGCUGAGAUGGCUGUUGGUCGUGAUCUUAGAAGAUCGAAGCGGUGAGAAAGAUGAACGCCCUCACGCCACUGAGAAAUCUUAAACACGACAAAGGAAUGAGGUAAUCACGGUUGGACCACCGGAGAUCAAUCGGAGCGGCAACAAAGAUGACUGGAGAAGUCGCAAGAGAAGUUGCGGGGGUGCCAUGGCGAGGAGUCGAGGUCGCUGAGACGAAUAAGUCACAGGUAUACAUCUUCAUAUUAAAUAAUAAAUUAUGGUGGAUGGAGUCAUGAAGGGCUUUAAGAUGAUGUAUCUGUCAAUGAGGAAGAAGAUUGAAUGACGUGAGAAAAAUCUCUACCAACAGAUUCAUCGCACCGACUUCGUCGACUCAAUCCCUAAAAUCAGAAUCGCCGUGUAGAGAUGUUACACGCUCACUAUCGGGAUGGGUUUUAGCCUAAAACCCACAUAAAAGCUGUAACCCAUAUCUCUUCAAUUUUUUUAAAUGAAACGCAACGUAUAAGCAAAAGUGGACAGAUGUCGCUUUAAGAGAGCACAAAUUGAUGAGCUGGAAUUCUAGGUGGACACCUGAGAGUGAUUCAGGGGUCUUCUUUAUAUAUAAAGAUAUAUUCAAUCUCUUUAUUUAAAAGAUUAUCAGAUGACCAAUUAAAUUAAUUUAAUCUCUAAUUUAAUAUCCCCUCAAUCCUCUUAUAAACAUUUUCAUAAUAACAUGUACAUGUUUGUUGAUUAUAUAAAAUGU